UUGCAGGCUGGAACUCGCCUGCAUGAAGUUGGAUUCGCUAGUAAUCGCGCAUCAGCCAUGGCGCGGUGAAUACGUUCCCGGGCCUUGUACACACCGCCCGUCAAGCCAUGGGAGCCGGGGGUGCCUGAAGUUCGUGACCGCAAGGAGCGACCUAGGGCAAAACUGGUGACUGGGGCUAAGUCGUAACAAGGUAGC
RNAcentral lists this ribosomal RNA (195 nucleotides) under uncultured bacterium. RNAcentral's name for it is "partial 16S ribosomal RNA". It matches the Rfam family "Bacterial small subunit ribosomal RNA", at positions 1298 to 1500 of the family's 1533-position model. The record is from RNAcentral.